This 283-nucleotide small RNA is filed under the name Oryza sativa Japonica Group (Japanese rice). Its description in RNAcentral is "sRNA Os03g0803066". Lineage: Eukaryota; Viridiplantae; Streptophyta; Magnoliopsida; Poales; Poaceae. The record is from RNAcentral.
UACUGAGAGCUACGUACGAUCUCAUGCAUCUACGUGCGCCGCGUGCGUAUAUACGCACGCGUGGUGCACGUGUAGUAGCUAGUGUCAUCUUUUGCUUUUGAGUGUCGAUCUCAGGUGAGUUGCAUGCAUGGUUGGGCAGGGAGGUUGGAGUUUGUAAAAGUUUGGGUUUGUGGCCUGAUGGCAAGAGUCGAGUUUACUAGUAGCUUCUAGUAGUUGUGUGCUAAGUUAAUUGUGUGUUGUUAAGUGCACGUGAUGCAUGCGAGAUAUGAUGACUAUCUUUAGU